Myodes glareolus (Bank vole) is the source of this 456-nucleotide non-coding RNA. The record is from RefSeq and is a predicted model, not a curated record. NCBI's taxonomy places the organism in Eukaryota, Metazoa, Chordata, Mammalia, Rodentia, Cricetidae.
UCAGAACCACCCUACUUAAAGGAUUCUUAUUUUGCCUCUUCCUUGGAUGUGUUUGGUACAGUGUCCCUGAUUCUUUUUCAAGGGCCGCUGGAAGAUGCCAUUGAGGAUGAGGACGAAGAGUAUCCAUCGGAGGAGGCGGAAGGCAUCGCUAAAGGGGACUUUCCACUGGAGGGAAGCUUCCCAGCAGACUUUGGGCCAGAAAAUCUGAGCUGCGAAGAAGUGGAGUUCUUUUGUAACAAAGCUGAGGAUGAAGGGUCCCAGCAGCCAGCAGAAUCCGAUGGGGACAACCAUUCCGACAAACCUGGGCAGCCUGGAGUGGACACAGAUGACUGGGAUGGCCCAGGCGAGCUGGAAACCUUUCAGAGAGAUGGGGAACGAAAAAUUCAGAGUCGGCAGCAACUUCCAGUGGGAACAACCUGGGGCCCCUUUGCUGGGAAGAUGGACCUGAAUAAUAAC